RNAcentral lists this ribosomal RNA (1185 nucleotides) under Triticum aestivum (bread wheat). RNAcentral's name for it is "partial small subunit ribosomal RNA". Lineage: Eukaryota; Viridiplantae; Streptophyta; Magnoliopsida; Poales; Poaceae. The record is from RNAcentral.
AUGGUUAUAAUAGGAGGAGAUGCGGGUGGCAAUGAAGGAGAUCGUUCUGGAAGUCAACCUCUUCGCCGGAACUCGAAGCGUCCUGCUAAUCGCCAGCCACGACUUGCGCAGAGUGUUGAGCAGGGAGAGGAUGUUGAGGAUGCUGAUCAGUUCCGUGUUGUAAAGAGGACUAGACGUGCAUCACUUGGCAAGGGAGCUGAGUCAUCUUCUAGGGCAGCAGUUGCUGGAGAAGCUGUCGCAUCUUCCGCAGCAGAUGCUGAGGGCAGCGGCGAAGGAGUUGAGGUGGCUCCAGGGGAAGAUGUGGAGCGACCAUCACAAGCAGGCAGGAUAAGGGCAUCACCAGCGCGCUUUGCAAAUUUCAACGCCUCUCUAACUCCACUACAGAAAUCAGAGCUAGUUUCGAGGUCGGUCGGGGGGCUAUUGAACUUAUCAGACACACUUCCAGCGGACCUCACUAAGUUCCUGGUGCAGCCCUACCAGCCACAGACCUCUGAAAUGGUUUUCCCAGGAAGGGGAAGGAUCCGUGUUGAUGCUGACAGUGUUCAGAGGGUAUUUGAUCUCCCAAACAAGGGUCCAAAAGUCAGAUAUUUAGUUGACAAGGAUGCCACUAGGAGAUUCAGACAGGCUUUCAACAUAACUGGAAAUUCUCAUCCCCAGAUCACUACAUGGCUCAAGAUGAUUGAGCAUAUGGCUGGAAGAACGGAUGACACAUUUUUUAUGGCCUGGCUUGCGAUACUAUACCUUGAUGCGCUCGUACAUGACAUCCCAGUAAGCAACUGCGCGAUACGAUCGAAUGCAUGGGAUAGUACUCUAAUUGCCAAGGUGAUCAAGAAGGAUACUAUCUCUCCUGGUGUGUUCGGCAAAUUACAACUUAAAGAGGAGUAUAGAGGCACGGAGCAGACACCACUGUUUGGUGGAAUUUUGCAAGCUGAAGCAUUUGUGGCAUCCAAGUUACCAAUAACAUACAAUCCGCAGAAAAAGGCAAAAAUUGCGAAAGUGGUCAAUGAGCUAUGCAAGGCUGUAACUGAACAGGUUGGCACCUUCAUUAAAGAAGUUGCCAAGAUUGAUGACGAGGAACCAGAUAUUGAUCCUUAUGAGAUGCCCUGGUCCUUGAACCCUUACGAAGAUCAAACUCUUAUCAUGGUGACGGGUUCUGCGAUGCACCAUCUUUUGACCUCGGCAUAG